This is a long non-coding RNA of Onychostoma macrolepis, 338 nucleotides long. RefSeq lists it as uncharacterized. The transcript has 3 exons. The record is from RefSeq and is a predicted model, not a curated record. NCBI's taxonomy places the organism in Eukaryota, Metazoa, Chordata, Actinopteri, Cypriniformes, Cyprinidae.
CUGCAGAGCAUCCAUUGCUGAGACACUGAUGCAGAGACACAUUUCUACAAACCUGAUGAAGAAACAAACUCGUAUUGGAUGAUCUGAGGAUACGGUCCGUGUGAACAGCACUGGAUUGACGAGGAGCACCAGCAGCAUGGGAGCGUAUGUGGUGAUGUAGUGAGGAAUGGCGUGCUGAAGGCCGUUCUCACAGCUCACAUGACAAACACAUUCAGCACUUUUAAGAGCUUUGGAAUGAAACAGUGUGAUCCUGAGGCGGUUUAAUCAGUGUUUACCUGGAUAUGGAGGGGUAGUAAAGCAUGGCGACUCCCUCCACACACAGCAGCAGCGUCAGACCC